AAGACUGCACUUUCUGGGAUCAUACCUGUAGUUCAUUACUAGAGAAGUUUCUCUGAACGUGUAUAGCACUGAAAACCAUGAGGAGGCACAGUGUUCUCUACUGAGAGCGAAGCUGGCUCUUACAGUUGCUUUGCUGCAACUACCAUUUGCCACUAAUGAUCAUUCGUCCCUUCCUCUGGAAGAGAAAGAGAGAGAGAAUGCAAUCUGAGUGGU
This 213-nucleotide small nucleolar RNA is filed under the name Carlito syrichta (Philippine tarsier). RNAcentral describes it as "Small nucleolar RNA U3 (ENSTSYG00000023290.2)". It matches the Rfam family "Small nucleolar RNA U3". Rfam says of the family: Small nucleolar RNAs (snoRNAs) are involved in the processing and modification of rRNA in the nucleolus. There are two main classes of snoRNAs: the box C/D class, and the box H/ACA class. The record is from Rfam by way of RNAcentral. Lineage: Eukaryota; Metazoa; Chordata; Mammalia; Primates; Tarsiidae.